Long non-coding RNA from Oncorhynchus tshawytscha (Chinook salmon), 1598 nucleotides. NCBI's taxonomy places the organism in Eukaryota, Metazoa, Chordata, Actinopteri, Salmoniformes, Salmonidae. The record is from Ensembl.
GGUGGGUGCUGCUAUGGUGACCAGUGAGCUGAGAUAAGGCGGGGAUUUACCUAGCAAAGACUUCUAGAUGACCUGGAGCCAGUGGGUUUGGCGGUGAAUAUGAAGCGAGGGCCAGCCAACGAGAGCACACAGGUCGCAGUGGUGGGUAGUAUAUGGGGCUUUUGUGACGAAACAGAUGGCACUGUGAUAGACUGCAUCCAAUUUGCUGAGUAGAGUGUUGGAGGCUAUUUUGUAAAUAACAUCUCCGAAGUCAAGGAUCGGUAGGAUAGUCAGUUUUACGUGGGUAUGUUUGGCAGCAUGAGUGAAGGAUGCUUUGUUUGCGAAAUAGGAAGCCGAUUCUAGGGCAUAUAGAACAGAUAUAGGGCAUGUAGGGCAGAUAUAGGGGCUCUAUGGCAAAUAUAGGGGAUGUAGGGCAGAUAAUACAGGGCUGAGAUAGAGCAAUUUGCUUUGGCAAUGUAAACGUGUUUCCCAUGCCAAUAAAACCAUUUGAAUUUAAUUUAAUUGAGAGAGAGAGGGGGAGAGGGAGAGAGAGAGAGAGAGAGAGCGAGACAGAGACAUUAAAUGCUAACAGGAGGAUAACGUCACUAGCUCCCAAAUGUAGGCAUGCUGGUCUGGAGAAAAAGGCUCGCAGCUCUGUUAUCCGUGGUCACAGAGAGCGUGGGGGAGGAAGACACUUGGACCAAGGAGUCGUGUGGGUAGAAGAAACACACCGGCGUUAUCCAAAAGGAAAACUUCUAACCCAAAGACAGCGGUUUUCCAAAAAAUCUUUAGGCUAGUUGGAUUUUUUAUUGGAAAGCGAGCAUAUUGAACGCCGGACGUUUUGCACAACUUGGAAAACCUAUUCGUUGCCCUUUUCUUGGGGCAGCAGGUCACAAAUCUUGCUGCUGGGAUGGCACACAGCAUUGGUUCUCACAGAAUGAUGGCUUUUCGGUUGGUGGUGACGUCAGGUCCGGGGGCCGCCGCCGAUGCAACCUGGGGGUGCCUUAGUUGGCUUCCACACCCUAGCUGGCUCGAGAAAUUCCUGACCCCGGUUGGCUCGGCAGGCGCCCAUCCCACAUCAGGCCUUUGCUGUAUCGUCAGGGUUUUACCGCUCAGCCGGCUCGCCAGGCGUCUACGCCUCAGCCGGCUCAUCAGGCUCCCACGUCCCAGGCUCCCACGCCUCAGCCAGUUCACCAGGUUCCUAUGCCUCUGCUGGUUCGUCGGGCUUCUACACCCUAGCCAGUUGGUCCUGCGCACAUGCCUCGGCCGGCCCAUCAGGCUAGUCCAGGUGAGAAGCCGGGUGGCGCCACUAGAGGGGGGGUACUGUCACGCCUGAUCCCGCUCUCCCUCCCUGGUGCUUGUGGGCGCCAGGCUGCCCUGCAUUACGCACUCCUGCCACCAUCAUUACGCACACCUGCUUCCCUCGUCACGCACAUCAGCGGUUCAUUGCACUCACCUGGACUCAAUCACCUGUGUUAUUUCCUUCCCUAUAUCUGUCUGUUCCCCAGCUCUGUUCCCCACUUUGGCAUUAAUUGUCGUAUGUCGUUGUGUUACCCGUGUGCUGACGCUGUUCCUGUCUUGUUCCAUGUCUAUUCCUUAUUACAUGUUGACUCCCCGUA